RNAcentral lists this ribosomal RNA (376 nucleotides) under uncultured bacterium. Its description in RNAcentral is "bacterial SSU rRNA". It matches the Rfam family "Bacterial small subunit ribosomal RNA", at positions 523 to 898 of the family's 1533-position model. The record is from RNAcentral.
AUACGAAGGGGGCUAGCGUUGUUCGGAAUUACUGGGCGUAAAGGGCGCGUAGGCGGCUUUUCAAGUCAGGCGUGAAAUCCCCGGGCUUAACCUGGGAACUGCGCUUGAGACUGGAAGGCUUGAGUUCGGGAGAGGUGAGUGGAAUUCCCAGUGUAGAGGUGAAAUUCGUAGAUAUUGGGAAGAACACCAGCGGCGAAGGCGGCUCACUGGACCGAUACUGACGCUGAGGCGCGAAAGCGUGGGGAGCAAACAGGAUUAGAUACCCUGGUAGUCCACGCCGUAAACGAUGAGUGCUAGACGUCGGGGUUCUUAGAACUUCGGUGUCGCAGCUAACGCAUUAAGCACUCCGCCUGGGGAGUACGGCCGCAAGGUUGAA